CCUACGGGUGGCAGCAGUGCGGAAUAUUGGUCAAUGGGCGCGAGCCUGAACCAGCCAAGUCGCGUGAGGGAUGACGGUCCUACGGAUUGUAAACCUCUUUUGCCGGGGAGCAAGCGUGCGUUCGUGAACGCGCGUCGAGAGUACCCGGAGAAAAAGCAUCGGCUAACUCCGUGCCAGCAGCCGCGGUCAUACGGAGGAUGCGAGCGUUAUCCGGAUUUAUUGGGUUUAAAGGGUGCGUAGGCGGGAUGCAAAGUCAGCGGGAAAAAUGCGGUGCUCAACGCGGUCGAGCCGUUGAAACUGGCGUUAUGGAGUGGGCGAGAAGUAGGUGGAAUGCGGGGUGUAGCGGUGAAAUGCAUAGAUAUGACGCAGAAUACCGAGUGCGAAGGCAGCAUAUCGGCG
This 399-nucleotide ribosomal RNA is filed under the name uncultured bacterium. RNAcentral describes it as "partial 16S ribosomal RNA". It matches the Rfam family "Bacterial small subunit ribosomal RNA", at positions 338 to 734 of the family's 1533-position model. The record is from RNAcentral.